UAGCACCAUGAUUUUCAUCCCUAGCUUUCUGACUCUGAAGUGCAUGAGAAGUUGUGUACUUAAAAGUACGAUUUUAAUAAAUUAGGAUCAGUUUUCAUUCAUUUGUACGAGAGGCUUCAAGUGAAUCAUUUUCAUGUAAAUAUAUACAUACAUACAUACAUAAAUUGUGGGUUAAUGUACAUUGUGUAAGUGGCGUAAAUAGUUUGAUUAACCUUUGACAUAUUCCAAAAUUGAAAAAUGGGGAUUUCAGAGUGUACAAACCGCUUUUAUUACUGGGUGGACGACACAAUCGUGGUUAUCAAACCGUUCACUGUGACAGUUUUAGUUAUCUCGUGGUUCAUCCUUUUAUGGAAGUUGUCUCCCAUGGCGUUUAUCGUGGUUGGAAUAGCGUUGCUAAAUUUUACAAUUACAUUUGGUCUGCUAAUUGUUGGUCUCUUGGACAAAGGCAGAUAUGGGUUUUAGAAUUUAGUCGCGUUGAUGUUUGUAGUACCAUUGUUUUUUAAUUUCUAAAUAUGCAUAUGUACAUAUUUACGUAUAUAUGUAUGUAAAUGAAUACAUGUAUGUAUUAACGUAUACGUUAAUUUGAGGUCUGUUUAAUUCCGAACUUAGGUACGUACAUACUUGAAGGUUGGAUGAUCUCAUUAGUUUGUUACUAAAUAUCACGUUUUUAUGAAUUAGUCAUAAUUAUAAUUCUUGUCAAUAAAAGUACUUCUGUAUGUACAACUUAUGUUGCAUUAUGAGUGCUCUACAAAUAAGUUAAGUAUUUGAUAAAUUAAAUAAUUGUUAUUCUUGUUUUGACGAAAUUCUUUAUACGGAAAACACGCAUUUAUAUACACACCCAGGGAGAAAUUUAUUGUACUACAUAGUAUAACUAUUUCAAGGUUAUAAAUAUUGUUUCAAGACCGAAAUUUGACUUUUCAUUCAUUUUAUAUAAGUCAAAAGCGAUGAAGGUUGGAAAUACAUUUCUAGAAUUUCUGAUCUGAUUUUUACAGAAUUAAGUAUGUACAUAUUCUAUUCAUUUAUACAAAAACAUGCGCUUCACGUAAAUUUCCGCUAGAAUGCGACCAUCGUUUUUGGGUGAAUGUCGGCCUCUUCACGUAUGUACUUACCGCUAUGCCAUCUUAUCUUGAUUAGUUAUUUGUUGAUUAUAUUUCUCGGCUUAUUAUCGGUUGAUUAUAUUUAUAUUUAUAUUACUCCAGUCCAACAUAUGUAUGUUGCCAACAAUUUUCUUUACGACCACAUAAAGCUUGAUUUAAAUGUUUACAAAAUGUAUCAACUCGAUUUUAUCUAAUGUCAUCAAAAUCUCAAGCAAUUAUCAUUCUAGUACAAUAAUAAAGUAAUCCACAGUUGUACAGAAUACAUUAAGUACUUAAGUAUGGCAGAAGGUUAAUUUGUAGUAUUAUUUAUUAUUAUUAUUAUCUUUACAUAAUAUUAUUUUUCAUGCCAAAGUUAAUAGUAGCGCUGCUCAUCAAAGUCACCAUCAAUUUUGUUUGCAGAGAUCCAUUUAUCGCAAAGUUUGGGGUAGUACAUGAAGUAUGUCAUGGAUUUUAUGGGGCAGUUUGAAAGUCCGAGAACAUUUCCCAGGUGCUGCCCUUGUCCAAAUUUGGUUAUAUACUCUCCAUUCGCGUAUGGGUUGAACUUUUAUAGAAAUAGAGAAACUACGCCACUGUCAGUCUCAAAUUGCCUCACGUUAUUCGAACGGGAGACUUUGAGACUUGCAGUGGUGUAGUUUCGCAGAAUUCUCAAUUUCUGUAAAAGUUCGCGUACUUUAUCUUGGCGACAAAACGUGUGUCACAGUUUGAUAACGAGCAUUAUGAACGGUCCACUACCGCAAUUUAUAAAAUUGGAGGUCAACAUUAAAACACCAGAUGCAUCGUGAAAAACAAAAUUACUUUUUUUCAAAAUGGUAUAAAAUCGUCUGCUUCUAGCAUACUCAAAUCACUACAAAUUUCCAUCUCCAAUCAGAGCAAACAUGAACAGAGGAUUUUUAUCAGUUGUUUUGGCAAUUUGUGUGCUGUCAUCUGUGGCAGCCACACCUACUCUGGUUGAAAUUUGCGGCGAUGUGUCAGACUACGCUGACCCGCAAGACUACUUCGCAUGCGCAGAUAAGUAUUGCCUGGAUUACGGGGUGGUUGGGGACGACGGAGAAUGCAUCUCCACCUCAACUUGAAACGUAAAAAUUUGCCACGUUGAGCAGCUAAACACUGAUAAUAAAUACAUAAAUUCAAGCACAAUAAACUAAUUACGAAUGUUCUAUUCA
Folsomia candida is the source of this 2260-nucleotide long non-coding RNA. RefSeq lists it as uncharacterized. NCBI's taxonomy places the organism in Eukaryota, Metazoa, Arthropoda, Collembola, Entomobryomorpha, Isotomidae. The record is from RefSeq and is a predicted model, not a curated record. The transcript has 3 exons.